This 253-nucleotide ribosomal RNA is filed under the name uncultured bacterium. RNAcentral describes it as "partial 16S ribosomal RNA". It matches the Rfam family "Bacterial small subunit ribosomal RNA", at positions 524 to 776 of the family's 1533-position model. The record is from RNAcentral.
UACGGAGGGUGCAAGCGUUGUUCGGGAUCACUGGGCGUAAAGCGCGUGUAGGCGGUUGCGUAAGUCGGGAGUGAAAGCCCGGGGCUCACCCCGGGAAGGGCACUGGAUACUGGGUAACUAGAGGACGGGAGAGGGGGGUGGAAUUCCUGGUGUAGCGGUGAAAUGCGUAGAUAUCGGGAGGAACACCAGUGGCGAAGGCGGCCUCCUGGCCCGUUCCUGACGCUGAGACCCGAAAGCGUGGGGAGCAAACCGG